AUUGAACGCUGGCGGCAGGCCUAACACAUGCAAGUCGAGCGGAUGAAGGGAGCUUGCUCCUGGAUUCAGCGGCGGACGGGUGAGUAAUGCCUAGGAAUCUGCCUGGUAGUGGGGGAUAACGUCCGGAAACGGGCGCUAAUACCGCAUACGUCCUGAGGGAGAAAGUGGGGGAUCUUCGGACCUCACGCUAUCAGAUGAGCCUAGGUCGGAUUAGCUAGUUGGUGGGGUAAAGGCCUACCAAGGCGACGAUCCGUAACUGGUCUGAGAGGAUGAUCAGUCACACUGGAACUGAGACACAGUCCAGACUCCUACGGGAGGCAGCAGUGGGGAAUAUUGGACAAUGGGCGAAAGCCUGAUCCAGCCAUGCCGCGUGUGUGAAGAAGGUCUUCGGAUUGUAAGCACUUUAAGUUGGGAGGAAGGGCAGUAAGUUAAUACCUUGCUGUUUUGACGUUACCAACAGAAUAAGCACCGGCUAACUUCGUG
This 483-nucleotide ribosomal RNA is filed under the name uncultured bacterium. RNAcentral's name for it is "partial 16S ribosomal RNA". It matches the Rfam family "Bacterial small subunit ribosomal RNA", at positions 30 to 507 of the family's 1533-position model. The record is from RNAcentral.